UAAAUGGAAUUUUUUGAUUAAAAUAUCCCGAAUAUUAGUGGGCUAGUUGUAAAAGUAUUUUAAUGUAGCAGAAUUAUUUAUAAUUUGCAGCUUGAAAUUAUAUGUUAGUCAUUCUUUUAUAUAUCUGGUUUUCUAAGAAAUUAAUUUAAUUAAUCUGAUCUAAUAAAUAAUUCUAUUUUAAGAUUUAUUUUUUGAUUAUUUAAUCUUUGAGGGGAUAAGCUUUUAAAGAGAUAUUUAUAAUUUAAUUGGUCAAGUAAUAAAAUAGGAUUAGAAGUUUCCAUUUUUAAUAGAGUUUAAUAACCAAUUUUUUUAGAUUUUGAUUUUUUUUUGUUUAAAUUUUUUAUUAGGAUAAAUUAUUUAAUAAGAAUUUAAUUUUAAUAAUGAUAAAAUUAGUAAAUUAAUAUUGUUUAUGGAUUUUAAUAAUAAUAGUUUUCAUUAAGGAAUUCGGCAAAUAUAUUUUUCGCCUGUUUAAUAAAAACAUGUCUUCUUGUUUAAUAUAUGAAGUCUGACCUGCCCAAUGAUUUAUUAAAUGGCCGCGGUAUUUUGACCGUGCAAAGGUAGCAUAAUCAUUAGUUUUUUAAUUGGAAGCUUGAAUGAACGGUUUGACGAAAAAAUUACUGUCUCUGUGAAAUAAAUUGAAAUUUAUUUUUUAGUUAAAAGGCUAAAAUAAGAAUAAGGGACGAGAAGACCCUAUAGAAUUUUAUAAUUAAUUUUAUUGUAUUUUUAGGGCUUGUAAUAGUAUUAUUUUUAUUAAUUAUUUUGUUGGGGUGAUAGAAAAAUUUAAUAAACUUUUUUUAUUUUGAGACAUUUUUAUAUGAGUAUUUGAUCCAUUUAUUAUGAUUAUAAGAGAAAAUUACCUUAGGGAUAACAGCGUUAUUAAUUUGGAGAGUUCAUAUCGAUAAAUUAGUUUGCGACCUCGAUGUUGGAUUAAAAUUAUUAUUAGGUGGAGAUGCUUAAAUAAUAAGUCUGUUCGACUUUUAAAAUUUU
RNAcentral lists this ribosomal RNA (987 nucleotides) under Cyclommatus alagari. RNAcentral describes it as "partial 16S ribosomal RNA". The stretch from base 402 to 987 matches the Rfam family "Archaeal large subunit ribosomal RNA", at positions 1423 to 2666 of the family's 2987-position model. The record is from RNAcentral. Lineage: Eukaryota; Metazoa; Arthropoda; Insecta; Coleoptera; Lucanidae.